GAACUCAAAGAAUGGUUCUUUAAGAAACAAGAUAGUGAUCAACAAAUAUAACAACCUAGUUCCUAUACCACAAUCUCCAAGGUAGUCGAGAAGGAUUUAUAAACCAUCUCAGUUGAAUGGUUUGAACUUUAUGACUAUAUCAUAGAGUUACACCUCUUAAUUCGAAACAAAUAAGAAUGAAAAUCCUUAUGACUACAUUGAGUGUAUAUACGAUAUAUACUCAAGGAAAUGGUAAAGUACCAUUUGACCCGAAAUAAUGAAACCUUAAAUAGCUAAUUGGUAGAUUAAGGUGACUACAAUCAAAGAGAAUGGUUGACUUUGAAGAAACCAUCUUUGACGUAGUCUUGUUUUCAAUUAAUUCGAAGAUUGCUAGCUACAACUAAAUGGUGAUUCAAUGUUUGGACAUAAUAUAGGUUUCCGAAACCAUUAUUAAGAUAAUCUUGAUAAUAUAUGUCUAAACUAUGAAUCACAAGACAUGUAAGUUGUAGAGAUCCAACCAUCAUGGAUCUUAGCAAGCUAGUGGGAGCUGUAAACGUCUUAUGAGAGAAAGAUCAAAACGUUUGAUUUCUCAUAAAGAUGUAAAUGAAUCUUUUGUUUACUAGGUUUACAAAAGAUUAGUGGGAGUUAAUCAUGUUCCUAAAUUUAAAUAUAUAUAUAUAUAUACAAAUAUAUGAUAUAUUAAUUUUGGAAAUGAAAAGAAUACUUCUUCGUUAAAGUUAUGACUUUAAAACAUUAUAUGAAGAUAUAAUGUAUAUGGGAGACAUAGUCUAUAUACAUGGGAUGGAAAUCUAUAUUGAUAGAUUUUAGGAUAUAAUUGGAUUAUAUCAAGCCCUAAAUAUAGACAAAAGAAGAUAGGAAGUUUCUCAUAUGAUGAUGAACUUCAAUCAAAAAGGACAACUCUAGUGAGACUAAGAAGUUACUCUUCUCAAAGAGAACGUACUCUUUGACUCCCAAAGAAAUAAUGCGUAAAUAGAAUCCUUUAUGCAUACGCAGAAAGGUGAUUUAUGUAUUUCAUAUUGUAUGAAAAACAUUGAUAUGAGUUGUACCUAGAACGGUACAAGACAAUAUCAGUGCAAGCCCAGGAUCAGAACCAUGGCAACUGUUAAGUGAGUUUUUAAGUAUUUAAGAAAUACUAAAGGAUAUAUUCCUCAAAGAUCGAGGAAGAAUUAGAGUAACGUAAUGGAAGUGUAAAUGUAUUAGAUUAUGAAUCUAAUCCAUCAUUGGAUGUUUCUUCAUUAUGAAUGAAGAGAUAAACAGAUAUCUCUUCAUUAUGACUAAAGAGAUAUUUGGAUGGAAACAUUAAAAUAAUGACUUUAGUGUGUUCCAUUAUGAAUGCAAAAUAUAUUGCCAUAUAGAUGUUUACAACAAUGUUGUUUGGAUGGGAAAGUUCAUUUAUGAACUCUCUAUUCGGUUCCAACCAGAAAGUGUCUGACACUAAUGGGGUGAUAGCUCAAGCCAGGGAAUCAAGGUCUCAUCACGAUCCGAACUCAAAUGAGAGACUGAACCACAUGAUUAAGAAUCAUGUAUAAUGGUGACGUCGUUAUUCUCAAGGUUGCUUAUAUGGAUAACAUAUAGAUAUCCAUUGUCUAGGCCUACUAUUCAGCCAUUUAUGAAAUGACUACAGAAGAG
RNAcentral lists this long non-coding RNA (1629 nucleotides) under Malus domestica (apple). Its description in RNAcentral is "long non-coding RNA (MDOM_LNC017116)". The record is from RNAcentral. Lineage: Eukaryota; Viridiplantae; Streptophyta; Magnoliopsida; Rosales; Rosaceae.